CCUACGGGGGGCAGCAGUGGGGAAUAUUGCACAAUGGGCGAAAGCCUGAUGCAGCAACGCCGCGUGCGCGAUGAAGGCCUUCGGGUUGUAAAGCGCUUUUCUGGGGGAAGAGAGAGGACUGUACCCCAGGAAUAAGUCUCGGCUAACUACGUGCCAGCAGCCGCGGU
This 167-nucleotide ribosomal RNA is filed under the name uncultured bacterium. RNAcentral's name for it is "partial 16S ribosomal RNA". It matches the Rfam family "Bacterial small subunit ribosomal RNA", at positions 338 to 521 of the family's 1533-position model. The record is from RNAcentral.